Molecule: ribosomal RNA, 292 nt
Filed under: uncultured bacterium
Lineage: Bacteria
Description: partial 16S ribosomal RNA
Rfam family: Bacterial small subunit ribosomal RNA
Source: RNAcentral
GUGCCAGCAGCCGCGGUAAUACGUAGGGGGCAAGCGUUGUCCGGAAUCAUUGGGCGUAAAGAGCGUGUAGGCGGCCCGGUAAGUCUGUUGUGAAAGUCCAGGGCUCAACCCUGGAAAGCCGAUGGAUACUGCCGGGCUAGAGUUCGGAAGAGGCGAGUGGAAUUCCUGGUGUAGCGGUGGAAUGCGCAGAUAUCAGGAGGAACACCUAUAGCGAAGGCAGCUCGCUGGGACGACACUGACGCUGAGACGCGAAAGCGUGGGGAGCAAACAGGAUUAGAUACCCUGGUAGUCC